GAACCGAACCGAACCGAAA
RNAcentral lists this microRNA (19 nucleotides) under Camelina sativa (false flax). RNAcentral's name for it is "cas-miR11592". Lineage: Eukaryota; Viridiplantae; Streptophyta; Magnoliopsida; Brassicales; Brassicaceae. The record is from miRBase by way of RNAcentral.